Molecule: small RNA, 83 nt
Filed under: Marmota monax (woodchuck)
Lineage: Eukaryota; Metazoa; Chordata; Mammalia; Rodentia; Sciuridae
Source: RNAcentral
GCCAGGCGGGGUGGCGCACGCCUGUAAUCCCAGCAGCUCUGGAGGCUGAGGCAGGAGGAUCUCAAGUUUAAAGCCAGCCUCAG